This is a non-coding RNA of Momordica charantia (bitter melon), 951 nucleotides long. The record is from RefSeq and is a predicted model, not a curated record. NCBI's taxonomy places the organism in Eukaryota, Viridiplantae, Streptophyta, Magnoliopsida, Cucurbitales, Cucurbitaceae.
CCUAACCCACCUUAUUCUCCUCCCUCUUCUUCUUCCUCCUUUCCCUCUCUUGUUGAAGCCGCCGGCCCCCCUCCCAUUCGGAUUCCUCCUCUCCGGCGAGCAGCACCGUUCAGGCGACGCGACAGGCAGCAGCGGCAUCAGACAGUAGCAGGCGCGGGCGUCGGGCAGCUGCUGGCGCGGCGUUGGGCACCAGCAGGCGGCGGCGGUGCGUGGUUGCUGUUCGUGGUGUUUUUUUCUUCGAUCCGACAAACUCCAAUGACUUGAAUAGCUUAGAUCCGUGAAGCCCGUAACGGGCAUCAAGACGAAGCCGUUGGAGGUCGUUUUGGUGUAUUUCUCUGCUGAAAAAACGUGGACAACAGCGUUUUGGUGGUGUUCGGCGAUUUCCUUCAUCCGUUUGAAGCCCGAUUUACGCUACCCACACCUUUGCAAGCUAGAUMUAAGUUACCCACACCUACACGAGGUCGACUUUGCGGUGUGAGAUCGAUGCAAGACUUAGGGACRUGGUUGGUAAGUAGCACUAGGGGGCGAGUGUGUGCAUUAUUUAGCGUUAACGGAGUGGUUUUGAUGCUGAUUUUAGAUUGAAUAAUUCAUUUAUGCAUGUAUGGGUUGUUAGUUUUUGGUUUGUGAACUUUUAGUGAUUUUGUUGAGUUACAUGUUAUUGUUUUCAUUGUUGGACAUUAUGAGAAUACAUGUUUUCUUAUCGUUGUAUGUGAYUGGACAAUUUUGAUUGUUGUGUUGGGAGUAAUCGACUUGUGGCGUUAUGUGAACAUAUUGGAAAUGAGAUGCUCGCGUUGAUAGUUUGAUAAAUUGUUUAUACUGUUCGGUUGGGAACUGUUGGUCUAGUGCUUUGUUGGUUAUAAUGAAAAGCAUGCUGGUGAGUUGUGCUGUGAAUUGAAAUGUGGGUUGCUUAGAUUGAAAAUGCUUACUAACGGCUUGGUUAUUCAAGCCUUG